AAUAAAUAAAUACAUAAAUAUAGAUAUUCAAAUACAUGGAGUGAUCGAGUACUAGUUCCCUGAUCGGGUCUUUUUAUAUACCACCAAUUUAAUAUAGUGGAAACCUAAAACAUGCAAACCUUCUCAAUAUGACAAUUUAUAGAUAAAUUGAGAAAAAUAUAGAUAGCCCGAACUAGUGCGCAUCCCAGUGAACACACCAACGUAACAGUGAUAUCACAUCUAGAGAACAUGUAACGUAACAAAGUCAAUGUAAAUUUUACAUUCUGAUUAUAUAAAUUGUAACGUAAAUGAUAUUACCUCAAAACUACGUAACAAAAUCGACUUAUAGGUGACAUAAUCUUGGUGAUUCUAUUUUAUCGUCACAUUUACAUUACAGCGUAAUGUUUCGGAUAUGUUUAUACUGUUACAUCACUUUUACAUAAAAAAUAGUUAUGUUUAUUUUGCAACAAAAAAUUUCAUCACA
This is a long non-coding RNA of Microplitis demolitor, 463 nucleotides long. RefSeq lists it as uncharacterized. Lineage: Eukaryota; Metazoa; Arthropoda; Insecta; Hymenoptera; Braconidae. The record is from RefSeq and is a predicted model, not a curated record. The transcript has 3 exons.